Molecule: ribosomal RNA, 645 nt
Filed under: uncultured bacterium
Lineage: Bacteria
Description: bacterial SSU rRNA
Rfam family: Bacterial small subunit ribosomal RNA
Source: RNAcentral
UGGGGAGUACGGCCGCAAGGUUAAAACUCAAAUGAAUUGACGGGGGCCCGCACAAGCGGUGGAGCAUGUGGUUUAAUUCGAUGCAACGCGAAGAACCUUACCUACUCUUGACAUCCAGAGAAUUUAGCAGAGAUGCUUUAGUGCCUUCGGGAACUCUGAGACAGGUGCUGCAUGGCUGUCGUCAGCUCGUGUUGUGAAAUGUUGGGUUAAGUCCCGCAACGAGCGCAACCCUUAUCCUUUGUUGCCAGCGAUUCGGUCGGGAACUCAAAGGAGACUGCCGGUGAUAAACCGGAGGAAGGUGGGGAUGACGUCAAGUCAUCAUGGCCCUUACGAGUAGGGCUACACACGUGCUACAAUGGCGUAUACAAAGAGAAGCGACCUCGCGAGAGCAAGCGGAACUCAUAAAGUACGUCGUAGUCCGGAUUGGAGUCUGCAACUCGACUCCAUGAAGUCGGAAUCGCUAGUAAUCGUAGAUCAGAAUGCUACGGUGAAUACGUUCCCGGGCCUUGUACACACCGCCCGUCACACCAUGGGAGUGGGUUGCAAAAGAAGUAGGUAGCUUAACCUUCGGGAGGGCGCUUACCACUUUGUGAUUCAUGACUGGGGUGAAGUCGUAACAAGGUAACCAAGGGCGAAUUCGCGGCC